Suncus etruscus (white-toothed pygmy shrew) is the source of this 299-nucleotide long non-coding RNA. RefSeq lists it as uncharacterized. NCBI's taxonomy places the organism in Eukaryota, Metazoa, Chordata, Mammalia, Eulipotyphla, Soricidae. The record is from RefSeq and is a predicted model, not a curated record. The transcript has 3 exons.
UUCCAGAUGGUUCUCUACCUCACUUUCCCCGUGGCCAUGUUCUGGGUUGCCAAUCAGGGCCGAUUGGUGUUGAGCACAACGUCAUACAGCGCAAGAGGGAGCUGUGGCCUCCUGAGACAGAAGAGCAGCGCCGAGAGGUGGAAGAAUUCAAGGAUCGGUUUAAGGAAACAGCGGGAAGAGAAGCUACUUCGGGCUGUCCAGCACAGCUCCUGAAGCGGCCAAAGUCUGGAGCCCUGCCCGCAUGAAAUAGCUGCAUGAAAUAACACACAAGCACGCGUGAAAUAAUAUACGUUCCACAC